Long non-coding RNA from Manis pentadactyla (Chinese pangolin), 583 nucleotides. RefSeq lists it as uncharacterized. The record is from RefSeq and is a predicted model, not a curated record. NCBI's taxonomy places the organism in Eukaryota, Metazoa, Chordata, Mammalia, Pholidota, Manidae. The transcript is spliced from 3 exons.
GUUGAGAUAAUCUUUAUGAAGAUAAAAUGAAAAUUCCUAUGGCCAGGAUUCUCACUUGGCCCUGGUCAGCUGACUCACUACACACAGGUUGGCAAUGCGUCGUUAUUGACUCUAUAUAAAGAACCCUGCCCAGUGCUCUGCACGACACAGUGGCACAGCUGCAAGGCUGCAGGAGAGCAGAGCAGAGGCUGGAAUGGUGACAGCGCCGAGGACAGAGGCCCAGGGGACAGCUGUGCGGGUAGAGAGGCCCAGAGAUGUAUCCAAAGAAUCUAGGAGCACCAUUUUCUACUGAUGCAGAGGCAAUCUAAGAAAGAAUAUACAUUUUUGAGACUCCAAUGGCCACCUAAGAAUUGAACAUAAAUGAAGAAAACAAUGAUUUGUUGUACAACGAGUCACUCAUUUAAAACUCAAGCCUUGAGGAGGGCGGAGCCAAGAUGGUGGCAUGAGUAGUUCAGUGGAAAUCACCUCCCAAAAACAUAUAUAUUUAUGAAAAUAUAUAAAUACAGCUAUUCCUAAAAAAGACAUCAGUGGAUACAGUACAACAGCCAGGAUACAUCUACAUCUGCAAGACCUCAACAUCACA